Molecule: ribosomal RNA, 340 nt
Filed under: Pheidole fimbriata
Lineage: Eukaryota; Metazoa; Arthropoda; Insecta; Hymenoptera; Formicidae
Description: partial 16S large subunit ribosomal RNA
Source: RNAcentral
AAUAGUUUUUUAAAUGGAAACUGGGAUGAAGGAAGUGAUGAAAUUUAUGCUGUCUUAGAUUAAAAUAUUAAAAUUAUUCAUUAAGUAAGAAUACUUAAAUGAGAUUAUGGGACGAGAAGACCCUAUAGAAUUUUAUAUAUAAUUUUAUUUAAUGAUUAAGUUUGGUAAAGUAAAAUAUAUAUUUAAUUGGGAGGAUUGUUAAAUUAAUUAAACUUAAAUUAAUAAAAAUACAUAGAUUAAUGAUGUAUAAAGAAUGGCUUUAUAAGUUAAAAAAGAAUUAAUUACCUUAGGGAUAACAGCGUAAUAUUUUUAGAGAGAUCUUAUUGAUAAAAAUGAUUGC